This 234-nucleotide ribosomal RNA is filed under the name uncultured bacterium. RNAcentral describes it as "partial 16S ribosomal RNA". It matches the Rfam family "Bacterial small subunit ribosomal RNA", at positions 15 to 245 of the family's 1533-position model. The record is from RNAcentral.
GAUCAUGGCUCAGAUUGAACGCUGGCGGCAGGCUUAACACAUGCAAGUCGAACGGUAACAGGAGAAAGCUUGCUUUCUUGCUGACGAGUGGCGGACGGGUGAGUAAUGCUUGGGAAUCUGGCUUAUGGAGGGGGAUAACGACGGGAAACUGUCGCUAAUACCGCGUAGAGUUGAGAGACGAAAGUGCGGGACCGCAAGGCCGCAUGCCAUGAGAUGAGCCCAAGUGGGAUUAGG